This 829-nucleotide long non-coding RNA is filed under the name Lucilia cuprina (Australian sheep blowfly). RNAcentral's name for it is "uncharacterized LOC111685431, transcript variant X2". The record is from RNAcentral. Lineage: Eukaryota; Metazoa; Arthropoda; Insecta; Diptera; Calliphoridae.
GAACCCUUCGAAUGUGGAUGUCUUUCGUAACCAAGACAACCCAUAAAGAAAAUAUAGAAAAAUUUCAAUUCAAAGCUGUGUGAACGCGUUUUGAAAAGAAAUCAAAAAGAAAAUUUAAAAGAUAUAAAAAAAAUCUGUUUUUGCACAAUAUCCAAUGAAAUACCAUGAAAAAGAUGUGAAUUUUUAAUCGAAAAAAAUAUUCAACAUAUCAGCUACAAAAAAUAACAACAAUUAAACCUAACGUUUGAAUAAAAAAGUGAAAAAAGAAUCAAAUAAAUUUUUCACUAACAACGUUUUAAACAUUAACACAACCCACUCCAACUAAGUCGUUUUACUACAGACACGCUUAAAUAAUAAAUGUGUGUAAAAUUUAUGGAACAUGAUAAAAUUUUGUUAAAACAAUUCUGCCAUUAAACAAACAAAAAAAUAUAAAAUAUUUCUAUAUACAUAUAAAUGAAUUAAACACAAAGGCAAAAAAAAAAAAAAAAAAAAUUGUAGAAAUGAUGGCCAAAUCUAAAGUAAAUAAAAUAUAUGAACCAUGUAAUCAACAACAGAACCAGAUACACAAGCAGCAAACAGGAUUACUAAGUGACAAACAACAGCAGCGACGACGACAACAACUCUACACUAACAUUGGUCAUUAAUUAUACUGUGUGAAUUGUUAAAAAAAACAAGCAAGCAAACGUAUAAAUAAAAAACACCAAAAACAAAAGCCCUGUGUAUGUGUUUAACUAACAGUAUUGAGUAUUCCAAUAACAAAAACAAUAACAAAUAUAAUACCUUUGUUACAUUAACUACGUAAUAAUACAAAUAAUACAGCAUAACAAAG